CUGGAGUAGAGUGACCCUGGGCAGAGGAUCAUGAUGAAGACCAUUACUGACAAGGUACCUCAGGAAGGACAGCAAGGAGUCUGGACAGAAGUGGCUGCCCUAGGAAGAUGAAGGCAGCAGCUGCAGGAGUGGAAGGAAUAAGGAGGGCAUUUGCAAUGAGAGCAGCAGCCCCUGUGAGAAGGCAGGGCAAGGCUUGCUCUACUGCCUCUGCUGAAGGCUGUAUCAAAGAGCAAUCACCAAGCCUGCAGGUUAUUCUAGUGACUCCUGGCGCUACAGUUAGUACAGAGUCUUCAAAGUAUUGAUGAAACAAUAAAAAUAUGACUUUUAAGAAAAGAGAGAUAACUUCAUCUGCACAUUAUUUCCUCAAGAGAAUGGAGAGUGUGGUGGUGUUGAAACAAGGCUGCAUGUUCUUUGACAAUCUUCCUACAAAGGCAUGAUCUCUUAAUAUGGAAGCAAGAUUCUUCUCAGCAGAUUUAAAACUUCACAGCUACAAAAAUAACAGAAAUAGGGAUACUUCCUCUCCCACUCAAUUAUUCCACCCUACAUCCCUGAGGCAUCUACGAUUGGUUCUGAUAUUUCAUGUGCUAAAUUUUGCUAGGUUCAACCACUAAAUAAAGCUUGGAUUCAAGGAUUGGU
Rhinopithecus roxellana (golden snub-nosed monkey) is the source of this 636-nucleotide long non-coding RNA. RefSeq lists it as uncharacterized. Lineage: Eukaryota; Metazoa; Chordata; Mammalia; Primates; Cercopithecidae. The transcript has 3 exons. The record is from RefSeq and is a predicted model, not a curated record.